Molecule: ribosomal RNA, 391 nt
Filed under: uncultured eukaryote
Lineage: Eukaryota
Description: SSU rRNA
Rfam family: Eukaryotic small subunit ribosomal RNA
Source: RNAcentral
AGCUCCAAAAGCGUAUAUUAAUGUUGCUGCAGUUAAAAAGCUCGUAGUUGGAUUUCUGGCGCUAUCGUGCUGACCCGCUGCCGGUUACGGUUGGUGUGUGUCGGUUUACGAUGUGUCAUCCUCACGGCUAGCGUGUCGGGCCUUCACUGGUUCGGCGCGUGAACUGUGACUUUUACUUUGAACAAAUUAGAGUGUUUCAAGCAGGCUUAUGCCUUGAAUACAUUAGCAUGGAAUAAUAAUCUAGGACUUCGGUUCUAUUUUGUUGGUUUCUAGAGCUGAAGUAAUGAUUGAUAGGGAUAGUUGGGGGUGCUCGUAUUCAAAGGCCAGAGGUGAAAUUCUUGGAUUCCUUGAAGACGAACUUAUGCGAAAGCAUUCACCAAAGAUAUCUUCU